This is a long non-coding RNA of Vidua macroura (Pin-tailed whydah), 186 nucleotides long. RefSeq lists it as uncharacterized. The transcript is spliced from 3 exons. The record is from RefSeq and is a predicted model, not a curated record. NCBI's taxonomy places the organism in Eukaryota, Metazoa, Chordata, Aves, Passeriformes, Viduidae.
CCUUUUUUAGGGGGAGAAGCCCUAAUUCCUACAUGACCAUUUUCAGGUGUCGCUGCAUUGGACAGAGGAUAGGGAAUCCUCCAUAUCAUGCAUUCUGUCUGCCCCUUUUGGCCUGUCCCAGGGAAGAUCAAGAGAAGAGCAAAAUAACGAGAAUACAUUCUUUAGAAGAGGCUAGGAAGAGGUGAG